RNAcentral lists this ribosomal RNA (476 nucleotides) under marine sediment bacterium BB0608_AND_9.2_2G0. RNAcentral describes it as "bacterial SSU rRNA". It matches the Rfam family "Bacterial small subunit ribosomal RNA", at positions 105 to 577 of the family's 1533-position model. The record is from RNAcentral.
GGUGAGUAAUACAUCGGAACGUGCCCGAGAGUGGGGGAUAACGAGGCGAAAGCUUUGCUAAUACCGCAUACGAUCUCAGGAUGAAAGCAGGGGACCGCAAGGCCUUGCGCUAACGGAGCGGCCGAUGGCAGAUUAGGUAGUUGGUGGGAUAAAAGCUUACCAAGCCGACGAUCUGUAGCUGGUCUGAGAGGAUGAUCAGCCACACUGGGACUGAGACACGGCCCAGACUCCUACGGGAGGCAGCAGUGGGGAAUUUUGGACAAUGGGGGCAACCCUGAUCCAGCCAUGCCGCGUGCAGGAUGAAGGCCUUCGGGUUGUAAACUGCUUUUGUACGGAACGAAAAGGCUCUUUCUAAUAAAUGGGGCUCAUGACGGUACCGUAAGAAUAAGCACCGGCUAACUACGUGCCAGCAGCCGCGGUAAUACGUAGGGUGCGAGCGUUAAUCGGAAUUACUGGGCGUAAAGCGUGCGCAGGCG